UUUACUAUAUAUGAUUUUUAUAUUUAAUUUUUUUAUGUUUAAAAUUUUAAAUUAGAUUUAAAAUUUAAAACAUUAAAAAUAUUAUUUAAAAUAUUUUAAAAAUUAUGUAGAUUUCCCGCCGCGAAGCGCGGGCCUCCACUAGGAUAAAUGAACUAGGUGCGAGGAAUGACUUCCUAUUAUAUGAUAAAGACUAGGGAUAAUUGCCAAUAUACCCUUCAUGCGUUUGAAUAUAUUCGAUUUAUCCCUAUUUUUUUUCUUUCUAAAAUACCCUUUAUAUGUUCCACCGUUAUUCCAAAAUACCCCCGCAGUUAUCCCCUGUUAAACUAACUCGGGUUAAACAUGGGUUAAAUGUAUACCAGAGUUAAAACN
RNAcentral lists this long non-coding RNA (369 nucleotides) under Ananas comosus (pineapple). RNAcentral's name for it is "long non-coding RNA (ACOM_LNC028140)". The record is from RNAcentral. Lineage: Eukaryota; Viridiplantae; Streptophyta; Magnoliopsida; Poales; Bromeliaceae.